RNAcentral lists this transfer RNA (70 nucleotides) under Bipalium admarginatum. Its description in RNAcentral is "tRNA-Ser". The record is from RNAcentral. Lineage: Eukaryota; Metazoa; Platyhelminthes; Tricladida; Geoplanidae.
GAAAGAAUAAGUAUUUAGAUAAAAGAUUUCUAAUCUUGGUAUUGAAAAAUUUACAGUUUUUCUUCUUUUU